This is a long non-coding RNA of Brassica rapa (field mustard), 5512 nucleotides long. RefSeq lists it as uncharacterized. The record is from RefSeq and is a predicted model, not a curated record. NCBI's taxonomy places the organism in Eukaryota, Viridiplantae, Streptophyta, Magnoliopsida, Brassicales, Brassicaceae.
CUUACAUGGUAAAUGGACGUUGUUUUAUUUUUUUAUCAAUUAAUUUAGUGAAACUUCAUAUGCUCCCUAUAUCAGUGGACAUACCACAAUAAAUUCCCUAUUCUAGAAAAACGGAGACAAUAAAGGUUCAAAACCUCUCUGACCAUCAUCAUAUGUUAUUUCAUGAUACAACUAUGCAUUAAAAUAAUAUUUUCAUAUUUUUUGAAUUUUUGAAUUUUUCUCAAAAUCUAUUUGUUAACCCCUACAAAAUAUUCAGUUUUUCGGUAAAUCCCUACAAAAUAUUCAGUUUUUCGGUAAAUCCCUACAAAAUAUUAAGUUUUUCGGUAAAUGGUUAAUAUACUGAAGCCUAUAAUUUUUAGUGUUGUUUUAAAAAUUCUAACUACAUUCUAUAUUUUGGUAAAUGGGUGCCGUUCUAUUUUUUUAUCAACUAAUUUAGUAAAACUUCAUAUACUCCGUAAAUCAGUUGACAAACCACAAUAAAAUCGUUAUUUUAGAGAAACGAAGAUGAAAGAAGGUUCCAAACCUCUCUGACCAUCAUCAUAUAUUAUUUCAUGAUACAACUAUGCAUUAAAACAAUAUUGUCAUAUUUUUUGAAUUUUACUCUAAAUCUAACCCCUACAAAAUAUACAAUUUUUCGGUAAAUGGUUAAUAUACUGAAGGCUAUAAUUUUUAUUGUUGUUUUAAAAGCAUUUACCAUAUUCUACAUUUGUAUUAAUGUAUUCUAAACUCUCUUACAUGGUAAAUGGGCGUCGUUCUAUUUUUUUAUCAAUUAAUUUACUAAAACUUCAUAUUCUCUGUAAAUCAUUUGACAACUAUGCGUUAAAACAAUAUUGUCAUAUUUUUUGAAUUUUACUCUAAAUCUAACCCCUACAAAAUAUACAAUUUUUCGGUAAAUGGUUAAUAUACUGAAGGCUAUAAUUUUUAUUGUUGUUUUAAAAACAUUUACCAUAUUCUACAUUUGUAUUAAUGUAUUAUAAACUCUCUUACAUGGUAAAUGGGCGUCGUUCUAUUUUUUUAUCAAUUAAUUUACUAAAACUUCAUAUGCUAUGUAAAUCAUUUGACAACUAUGCAUUAAAACAAUAUUAUCAUAUUUUUUGAAUUUUACUCUAAAUCUAACCCCUACAAAAUAUACAAUUUUUCGGUAAAUGGUUAAUGUUUUAAAAACAUUUACCGUAUUGUACAUUUGUAUUAAUGUAUUCUAAACUCUCUUACAUGGUAAAUGGGCGUCGUUCUAUUUUUUUAUCAAUUAAUUUACUAAAACUUCAUAUGUUCUAUAAAUCAUUUGACAAACCACAAUAAAAUCGCUAUUUUCAGUUUUUUGAUAAAUCUUUAUAUAUAAUAAAAGGGUUUGAAUUCCUCCUAGGGGAUCUACCUCAGCUGCCAGCGCACAAAUUCGAGCUCUCUGUAGCCGACACCUGUCCUCAUUAAUCAAAACGGUGCGCACCAUUUUGAUUCCGCAUGGGCUCUUUUAUUUUUUUAUGUUUUGGUAGAUUUGGGCUUCAGGCCCGUCCCUUGCUUCCUGCAGAAAACAUCGAAAGGCGUCACCCCGCUAAAGGUGUCCGAUAGAGAGUAGAAUCACCAUGCCUCUUCAGAUCCACCAUCAUCACUAACCUCCACCAUUUAUUAGCUUUUCAAAGCAUAAACCGAUAACAUCACCUAUCACUCUUCGGCUCUCCUCGCCAAUUAUAUAUUGAUCACUCUAUAGAUCCUUCACCGAAAAGUUUCCUGCGACACAGCUAGCAAGCUCUGAGUUUGAUAAAACCGUUGGCGCCAAACUCUUCGAGCAUCAUACUCACCUCUUCCUGACUCGGCGACGCUAGAUCUCUUAUGGAAACAAAGUUGUUGUCGUCUCGAUCGAUUAACUUGAACGCUUGAAUCAAAUGGAGUAAUAAUCGCACAAGUUCUUGGGAAGAACGCUGAUUGUUGAGGUUACCAUACGAUCUGUCGGCGAAAUAGGAAGAAGCACCGAAGCUGAAACAAGAAGGUGCAGAUAUGGAGACAAAAGCUUUGGUUUUGGCGGAAUUUGUUUUAAAUAGAGUACUUACUAUAUUGCUCUAUGUUAAAUUGACUGACGGGUUAUCGUUCGGAUUUGAGUCGAGCGGUUGGAUCUCAUCUUCUCGAUAGACGAAGAUUCACAGUCUGGAUCAUAACGCUGUUGCAAAGAAACGAUGAUAUGCUUAGUUAAGACGCAAAGAGAUAUGUAUAUGGUAUGAAAAUCGAGAAUUGAUGCAAGUGAUGCUGAUAAGAAGAUGGACAUGUCAGUUCAACAGUGGUUCAAGGAUCCAGUGUCCCUGUCAAAAUUUCUCCGACACUGUUCCAUCUCUUCUUUCUUUCUACAUCUCCAUAGACGGUUCCGACUAUGUGCUUUCUCCUCUUAAGAUAUAUUCUCAUGUACAGGUCAGAUAUUGCUUGGGAUAUGGUGACUCAUUUUUUAUCUCCCUAAUGAAAUUUCCUUCUUGCUCUUUAUGUAAGUUAUGCAGAUGGGCCCUUCAUAUAUGCCGGGCUUGGUGGAAGAAAAUAGUUUGGAUACUCAGGUUGUACCAGUCCCUGGCUCUGAGUUAAUCAUGGCACCUUCUCAGUGGAGCAGUAAAUAUUGUUGGUAACUUGACAGACUUUUAAAAAAUGUGGAAUUCGCUUUGUCUUUUGCCUUCAUGUUAUAUGAGUUGAGAGAAACUCUUGAUUUGUUUUUGUUAAUGUGGAGUGGACUCAAACUAUUUACCCAUGUAAACAUAACGCUAUGUAUUUUAUCUAUGAAUACCCCUAGUACUCCAAUAAAAUCAUCUUUAAUUGAUCACUCUAUUCUUUCUUCAAAAUAGAGUAAUUCUAAAAUGGAAAUGAGUUAUAUUCUAAUGAUACUCUAUAAAAUAUUUUAUAGCAAAAACAAAAGAGAAUAAAAAUAAUGAACAAAACAUAAAUGAAUUACUUAAUCAUGGAGUAAAACCAUUUUUAACUCUAUUAUAUAGUUUAAAACAAAAUUAGAAUUAUGAACAUAUUUACUUUAAACUCUAUUUUAUAUUGAAAAAUAGAGUAAUGCUAGACAUGCUCUUGGUGAUAUUUAUUCCUCUCUCAGUUUCUUAAUAUAUAAUGUUUUGAGAAGUUUUUGAUGUUUCAGUACAUAAGAUGUUUUCAUUUUUCUAUAUAACUUUUAAGUUUAUUAAAAACUGUGUAGUCAAUAGUAUUUUGUUCUCUAUUUUGUAGUUGGUUAAAUAGUUUUUAAUUUAUACUUUAAAUGAUAUUUUUAAAUAAAUAUUAAAAUUUUAACUGUUUUGUACAUGUAUAAAACAUCUUACAUUUUGAAACGCAUGGAGUAUUACUCAUUGAAUGAGUUUUAAUUGACACUAUAUCUCUACCCGCGCAACCGCGCGGAUGUUUGUUUGCAGUUUUAUAUAUGUAGAUAUUUAUUUUGGAUUAUAAGUAGUAUACAUUUUUAAAAAGUUAAUUGUAUACUUAAAUGUUUAUAUAACUAUUUCAUAUACAAUAAUUUUAUAAUUUUAUACUUUAUAUGUUGUAGUUAAUCAAUUUUUACCGUCAUAUGUAUUUGUUGAUUAUUAUUAUAUAUUUAUCUUAAUAUAUUUGUAUUUAGUUAUUAAAAAAAUUUAUAUAUGCAUAAAAUAGCAUAUUUAAAAAUUAUAUUGUAUUUAUUUAUGCUAAAUUCUGACCCACCUUUCAAAGUUGGAUUUUCUUUAAGCAAUAUUUUUUUUUUACUUUUAUUCAUUUUAGAUAAUAUAUUAUUGUAUAAAAAAAAUAUUAAUUUUCUACAUGUAGUAUAUAGUUUGCUAAUGUUAAGUCGUUCUGUCAUCAUAUUAUAUUUAUAAAAUGAGCAUUUUAUAUUUAUGAAUGGAAAUUUUUUAAAUAUAUCAAUUUAAUAUAAUUUUAUCAUUUUAGCUCAAUAUAAUAAUUUUAUUUUAACAUGACUGAUUAUGAUUAUAAAAUAGAUAAAAAAUAAUAUAAUUUUUUUAUAAACGAUAAUUGAAUAUAUAUUAAUGAUUAAAGUUAAACUAAAAUAUGCAGUUCAAGGUAUAUCACCCUAGUAGAAAUCUCAGUAAUAUGCAAGAUGUCUGUGAUCCGAUGAGUUGAGACAAAAAUCAUAUACCUUGAACUAUAGGUGAAACUCGGAUCUCUGAAUUUUAACCAUGGUUCUUGAAUUAAGGUUUAAUAUUCAGUGACACUGCAUAGGAUAGAUGGUGAUCCUUAAUAUACAAAACAGAUUUGAACUCUAGUGUUAACAACAGCUAAUGCGUUUGUGUUGAAUUUUUGUUUAAUUAUCUUCUUUGUUUUUAAAAGUCUUAAACUUAAAGCCUGUUGGCUUUAAAGCUGGUCGAGCUAAUAAUGAAUACAGAGGUUACAUGAGAAUGAAGAAGGUGACAAAGGAACUUAACCAUAUGUGUGUUACUGAUUCGUUUGUGUACGUCAAAGUUUGUGGAAGAUAUGAGAUUAAGAUUACUCAAUCAACGCAGUAAUACCUAUGGUAAUGGCUACUCAACCAUCAGAAGCAGAGCUGACAUGGAUGAACAAAUGGUGAAUGAUCAAUACGUUAUGGUAACUUGCGCCAUUAAGCUGAGAAGAUAAGGGCUCUGUUCUGUAACCAUUGCGUCAGGACAGCAGCUAAAAGUAUCUCCUCCUUAGAAUAAUCUAAGUCGUAACCCUUACGCCAAAAUUGUUUGGAAAAUAAUCGUAUCUUUUUUAAUAUUUUGCGUGGUCAGUUUAAACAUAUGAGAACUUCUUAGGGAAUAAACAGCGAAUAUUCGGAACUUCUUAGUCUAAUCUUACUAUGAUUCUCUACAACCUCCGUUAACAAAUCAUUUUCCCUAUAGAACCUGCCAACAGAAGUUAGUGGAAUAUUUUUUUACAUAAGAUUAUCCUUCUCAAGCCACAAAGUGUCAUAAACUUUGAAUUAGUCACUCUUGAAAUCCUAAUUAAGACAUAGAAUUGGUACUUAAGGUUGGCAAUCACUAAUUUCCCAUACUUAGGCUCUCUACCCUCAUCAAUCCGAAUUUUGAGAACGUACGACUAUAUUUAGUGAAAAGAAAAAUAAAUACGGCUUUGUUUCAAGAAAUCGGGAAAAGAAAAGGGAGACAACCAAGUUACCUCAAUAGCCGUAGCUGCACCAAGAUGCAGUUUAUCUGCGCAAAAGAGCUUCCUAUUGUUGGAUUUUCUUUAUUGGGUGUUUUUGCAGGUGUUCGCGGUAUAAGGUUUGAGACAGGAGAGCCGUCACAGGUGUUGGCUUUCACUGGCGCAUGCUGCUCUUAGUUGUCUUUGGAUUUUGCAACACCUAUCAUUGUCUCAUCAGUUUGAGACCUAGAAAAAACGCCAAACAUGGGCUCCAAAAAGAUUACCCACAUGCUUCAUUACUUUAUCCGACGGUUCCGUAGCACAUAUCUCUUCAGAGUAAUACUUUGAUUACUUGAUAUAGGUCACCAUGAACUUAUUAUGUAUCAGAGUAACUGAACUCCAGAUCUGUGGUGAAAGAGGGUUUAGUUUAGACAGCAAUGGCAUGAAGCGGAUCUUUUUA